RNAcentral lists this ribosomal RNA (373 nucleotides) under uncultured organism. RNAcentral's name for it is "partial 16S ribosomal RNA". It matches the Rfam family "Bacterial small subunit ribosomal RNA", at positions 527 to 896 of the family's 1533-position model. The record is from RNAcentral.
GUAGGUGGCAAGCGUUGUCCGGAAUUAUUGGGCGUAAAGCGCGCGCAGGCGGUCCUUUAAAGUCUGAUGUGAAAGCCCACGGGCUCAACCGUGGAGGGUCAUUGGAAACUGGGGGACUUGAGCACAGAAGAGGAAAGCGGAAUUCCAAGUGUAGCGGUGAAAUGCGUAGAGAUUUGGAGGAACACCAGUGGCGAAGGCGGCUUUCUGGUCUGUAACUGACGCUGAGGCGCGAAAGCGAGGGGAGCAAACAGGAUUAGAUACCCUGGUAGUCCACGCCGUAAACGAUGAGUGCUAAGUGUUAGGGGUUUCCGCCCCUUAGUGCUGCAGCUAACGCAUUAAGCACUCCGCCUGGGGAGUACGGCCGCAAAGGCUG